Molecule: ribosomal RNA, 776 nt
Filed under: uncultured Neocallimastigales
Lineage: Eukaryota; Fungi; Neocallimastigomycota; Neocallimastigomycetes; Neocallimastigales
Description: partial large subunit ribosomal RNA
Rfam family: Eukaryotic large subunit ribosomal RNA
Source: RNAcentral
AGAGAGAGACAUGCGCGCAUAUCAAUAAGCGGAGGAAAAGAAACUAACAAGGAUUCCCUUAGUAACGGCGAGUGAAGCGGGAAGAGCUCAAAUUUGAAAUCUUCAAGGUUCUACCUUGACGAAUUGUAGUUUAUAGAAGUGUUUUCUGUUAGCUGGAGUGGCAAAAGUUCUUUGGAAUAGGACAUCAUAGAGGGUGAGAAUCCCGUAUUUGGUCAUUCCUCCUAGCGUUGUGAUACACUUUCAACGAGUCGGAUUGUUUGGGAAUGCAGGUCCAAAAUGGGUGGUAAAUUUCAUCUAAAGCUAAAUAUUGGCGAGAGACCGAUAGCGAACAAGUACCGUGAGGGAAAGAUGAAAAGAACUUUGAAAAGAGAGUUAAACAGUACGUGAAAUUGUCAAAAGGGAAGCGUUUGACACCAGUGUUGUUUUUCCGAAAAUCAAUUACGAAUGUUUUGUUUUUGAGGAGUUAUGACUUCAUCGGCUUGCUCCUUUCUUUACGAAACUUUCUUAAUGCACUUUUCGGUUAACAAGUCAACAUCAAUUUCUUUUGUUGUAAAAGGGUAUGAGGAAGGUGGCUUUCUUUUCGGAGAAAGUGUUUAUAGCCUUGUGCCUCUGCAAUCGGAGAGAUUGAGGUCUGCAGCGUAGAUCCUUCGGGGUUAGAUACGUUUGUGCUAAGUUAUAGCUUUUCAUAGACAACUUGUUGACUAUGUUUAGUCUUGUAGCUUACUCGCUGACGCUAUUUUACCUACGCUUAGGAUGUUGAUAGUCACAGCGUGUAC